RNAcentral lists this ribosomal RNA (612 nucleotides) under Cicindela clarki. RNAcentral describes it as "partial 16S ribosomal RNA". It matches the Rfam family "Bacterial large subunit ribosomal RNA", at positions 1844 to 2748 of the family's 2925-position model. Lineage: Eukaryota; Metazoa; Arthropoda; Insecta; Coleoptera; Carabidae. The record is from RNAcentral.
UUUAAGGUCUAACCUGCCCAAUGAGGAUUUAAAUGGCCGCAGUAUUUUGACUGUGCAAAGGUAGCAUAAUUAUUAGUUUUUUAAUUGAAAGCUUGUAUGAAGGGUUGGACGAGAUAAAAUCUGUCUUUAUUUAAAUAAGAGUGGAAUUUAACUUUUAAGUCAAAAGGCUUAAAUAGAUAUAAAAGACGAGAAGACCCUAUAGAUCUUUAUUUAAUUGAAGUUUUAAUAGUUUAGGGUUCUUUAAAUUUAGAGUUUCAAUUGAAUUUUAUUGGGGUAAUAUAAAGAUUAAAUUAAUUCUUUUUAUUUAUAACAUUAAUUUAUGUAUAUUUGAUCCAGUUAUAUUGAUUAUAAGAUUAAGUUACCUUAGGGAUAACAGCGUAAUUUUUUUGGAGAGCUCUUAUCGAUAAAAGAGUUUGCGACCUCGAUGUUGGAUUAAAAGUUAACUUGGGUGCAGAAGCUCAAGAUUUUGGUCUGUUCGACCAUUAAACUUUUACAUGAUCUGAGUUCAGACCGGCGUAAGCCAGGUCGGUUUCUAUCUUUAUAAAAGUAGGAUAUUUUAGUACGAAAGGACCAAAUAUUUAAUAUAGUGAUAUUUAGUUUUUGAAUGAUAUU